Molecule: long non-coding RNA, 238 nt
Organism: Sinocyclocheilus rhinocerous
Lineage: Eukaryota; Metazoa; Chordata; Actinopteri; Cypriniformes; Cyprinidae
Exons: 3
Source: RefSeq, a predicted model, not a curated record
UUGACUGUGGAGAUAAACCUCAGUUUGACAGUAACACUGAUGUCCACACUGUGGCUUCCCUGCUGAAGCUGUAUCUCAGGGAGCUCCCCGAACCCGUCGUUCCCUUCUGCAAGUAUGAGGACUUUCUCAAUUGUGCUCAGCUCCUGGCCAAAGAUGAGGAGGAGGGGAUACAAGAAUUAGGGAAGCUAGUGACGACCCUUCCAGCUGCCAAUUACAACCUUUUGAAAUAUAUAUGCAA